CCCUUAGAUGUUCUGGGCCGCACGCGCGCUACACUGAUGCAUUCAACGAGUAAUCUUUGACCUUGGUCGACAGAUCUGGGUAAUCUUUUGAAAUUGCAUCGUGAUGGGGCUUGCGGGUUGCAAUUACCCGCACCAACGAGGAAUUCCUAGUAAACGCAAGUCAUCAACUUGCAUUGAUUACGUCCCUGCCCUUUGUACACACCGCCCGUCGCUCCUACCGAUGAAUCGUCCGGUGAAGUUCGCAGAGUGGCGGUUCGUGGAGUUGCUCGCGAAGUGAAAUGGACCUCACGAUUUAGAGGAAGGAGAAGUCGUAACA
Molecule: ribosomal RNA, 316 nt
Filed under: uncultured eukaryote
Lineage: Eukaryota
Description: partial 18S ribosomal RNA
Rfam family: Eukaryotic small subunit ribosomal RNA
Source: RNAcentral